RNAcentral lists this ribosomal RNA (28 nucleotides) under Acacia linophylla. RNAcentral describes it as "partial 18S ribosomal RNA". The record is from RNAcentral. Lineage: Eukaryota; Viridiplantae; Streptophyta; Magnoliopsida; Fabales; Fabaceae.
GGUGAUCCUGCGCAGUAGUCAUAGCGAC